This 199-nucleotide non-coding RNA is filed under the name Nitrospirota bacterium. The record is from RNAcentral. Lineage: Bacteria; Pseudomonadati; Nitrospirota.
UAUGUUAUAAAGCACCCACAUAUCGACCACAUCCAGGCGAAGGGAAUCCCGUUAAAAUCGGGAGCGGACCCGCCGCUGUAAUCCCGGCCCAGAAGCAUCGGGCCAUACUUGCUGCCAGAACAUGCCACUGACCCUAACCGGUUGGGAAGGCAGGCAGCGAGGGGAGAGCCAGAAGACCUGCAUGGAUGUUCUCGCACUG